GAGAGGGGAGGGGGAGGCAGCUGGGCUGUGACGCGCGUGGCUGCUGCGGCUGCUCCGCCGGCGGCUCAUCACUCUCGGGCUGGGAUGGACGAGGGGCGGGCGGGCCCCGGCUCGCAGAACCAGGAGUUCGGGCCGCCCAGCAGCUAAGCGCUUCCCCCACCACUCCUCUCCUCUACCUCCACCAUCCCCCGAGGGACACCGUCCCCGCUCUGCCUUCCCCAAUCCCAGGAUCUCUGGAACCCAGCUCCCAACCCCCUAGCCCAGGGUUGGGGAGGUCGGCAAGGGACCCAAAACCCGACCUUUUCUGAUCUCCCCUGGAUUUUCUUCCCCCUUACUCGAGACCGAGUGGAUUCCUCCUCCUCCUUCCUAAGGAUUCCGACCUAAUUCCCUCCUGUUCAGAGGAUUCAGCGUGGGGCCUUCCCGACAGCCCUCAGAUCCCUUAGGAUCUCCGGAGACUAUUCCCCCCCCAUCCCUGAUCUCUCAGGAUCCGUGAGAUCCUCCACCUUCUCCCCAUUUUCAAUUCUUCCUCAAUCAAGUCCUAUCGGGAGACGCCCCCAGCCCCAUUCGAAUAUCUCCAGGGAUCCAGCGGUCUCCAAUCCAUCGUACUCAACCCCCGCUGCGGGAUUCCUGGUUCCCAGCCCCCUCCUAGGCGGGCAUCUGCUUCUCCUUUCCCUGGCCUCGUACCCUACCUCUCCUCUCCCUGGGAAUCGACUGGAUUCUGGCCCGCCCCCGGGGCUUGGGGUAAUCCCCCUCCCCAGUAGGGUGAGGCGCUGUGGGCGGGGGCCCGGUCUGCCGGGUUUGGAGGCUCUAAGGCCCCUGCACCCCUAAGGACCCUAUCUGCCUCCCUCCUCCCCCACUCCGAGCCCCUGAUGGAGAAGCCACGGCCCCGGGGUUGAGGCAGGGGACCCAGGUGCUUUACCCACAAAUAUUAUGUGAUAAUUCGUUCCAUCUUAGUGAACUGGGAGAGGAGAGCCUGUUGUUUUAUCUCUUUCUAGGUCCUGCCGUCUUCCCCCACUUACCAUCUACCCCCCCAUUCCCCACCCUUUGCUCUCUCCAUGGAGCGCAACAGACCUCUCUUCUUCCCUAUCUAACUUCCCCUCCCUCCCUGCCCCCUUUCCUUCCCCCUUUUCCCCCUCCCCAU
Non-coding RNA from Phascolarctos cinereus (koala), 1141 nucleotides. Lineage: Eukaryota; Metazoa; Chordata; Mammalia; Diprotodontia; Phascolarctidae. The record is from RefSeq and is a predicted model, not a curated record.